CCCUUAGAUGUCCUGGGCUGCACGCGCGAUACACUGAUGUGUCCAGUAAGCACCUAACCUAUUCCGAGAGGAGCGGGUAACCUUAGCAAAGCACAUCGUGAUGGGGAUAGAUUAUUGCAAUUAUUAGUCUUGAACGAGGAAUUCCUAGUAAGCACAAGUCAUCAGCUUGUGUUGAUUACGUCCCUGCCCUUUGUACACACCGCCCGUCGCUCCUACCGAUUGAAUGUUCCGGUGAGCUCUUCGGACUGCGCGGUCUGCAGUUUCUGCGUUCCGUGCGGAAAGUUGUGCAAACCUUAACAUUUAGAGGAAGGAGAAGUCGUAACA
Molecule: ribosomal RNA, 324 nt
Filed under: uncultured eukaryote
Lineage: Eukaryota
Description: partial 18S ribosomal RNA
Rfam family: Eukaryotic small subunit ribosomal RNA
Source: RNAcentral